UUUUUUUUUUUUUUUUUUUUUUUUUUUUUUUUUUUUUUUUUUUUUUUUUUUUUUUUUUUUUUUUUUUUUUUUUUUUUU
This 78-nucleotide unclassified non-coding RNA is filed under the name Escherichia coli. RNAcentral's name for it is "RNA (78-MER) from Escherichia coli (PDB 4XJN, chain N)". Lineage: Bacteria; Pseudomonadati; Pseudomonadota; Gammaproteobacteria; Enterobacterales; Enterobacteriaceae. RNAcentral also lists the same sequence under 1 other name. The record is from RNAcentral.